Molecule: unclassified non-coding RNA, 253 nt
Filed under: uncultured Flavobacteriaceae bacterium
Lineage: Bacteria; Pseudomonadati; Bacteroidota; Flavobacteriia; Flavobacteriales; Flavobacteriaceae
Description: contains 16S-23S intergenic spacer region
Rfam family: Bacterial small subunit ribosomal RNA
Source: RNAcentral
UACGGAGGGUCCAAGCGUUAUCCGGAAUCAUUGGGUUUAAAGGGUCCGAAGGCGGGCAAUUAAGUCAGGGGUGAAAUGGUGCGGCUCAACUGUAGCACUGCCCUUGAUACUGGUUGGCUUGAGUGAUGGUGAGGUGGUUAGAAUGUGUAGUGUAGCGGUGAAAUGCAUAGAUAUUACAUAGAAUACCAAUUGCGAAGGCAGAUCACUAACAUUGCAUUGACACUGAUGGACGAAAGCGUGGGGAGCGAACAGG